RNAcentral lists this long non-coding RNA (686 nucleotides) under Theobroma cacao (cacao). RNAcentral's name for it is "long non-coding RNA (TCAC_LNC000873)". The record is from RNAcentral. Lineage: Eukaryota; Viridiplantae; Streptophyta; Magnoliopsida; Malvales; Malvaceae.
UGUCACGACCCGGAACUCCCAUCGAGCCCGUGACAACCGCCGCGACGUCCCGAUAGGCACUCAUUACCCCGAAUGCCGAUCGAAACCCCGCAAGGCUUAGCAUCAGCUUCCGCAUCUCCCCGGUGAGCGACAGUUAUUAAAUCUUGCAUUUCAAGAAAUCAUAAGUCGUUUCCAAAUCAAAACAAUAAAAUAUUAUUUUCUGGCUCACAAGGGCAUUUUCGUCAUUUUUCUUCGAUAAUACCGAAACUCGCCAAAAACAUGGUGUAAAAGCUAAAUAUGUUCAUACAUAUUUUAAAUCAGAUAACUAAAGUAUAAAAUUACUUUUACAAUGACACGUGGGCCCCCAACUAACCAAUAAGAUGCGAGUCUGUGAACCUAUAAUUUUGACAAUGCAAGGCUAACUGAAGUCCUUGAUGCAAUCGGCUAUCUACCGGCUAUCCCGAACCUGAAAUGUGGGGAAUUGAGGGUGGUGAGAUUAUAAAAUCCCAGUGAGUAAACAGACACCAUCUAAACUAUCUAAAGGCGAGUAAAUGGAGACAAUUAAAAAAUAAUUAACUUCAGCAAAUUUUUCACAUCACGAAUAUUCAUUUCAACCAAAUAAUCAAUAUGGCUCAUGAAUUACUCAAAACUUGGCUCAUGCCAAAUCCUGUACUCGGUGACACCUGGACCAGGGGUAUCCAACCGAG